UACGUAGGGCGCAAGCGUUAUCCGGAAUUAUUGGGCGUAAAGAGCUCGUAGGCGGUUUGUCGCGUCUGCCGUGAAAGUCCGGGGCUCAACUCCGGAUCUGCGGUGGGUACGGGCAGACUAGAGUGAUGUAGGGGAGACUGGAAUUCCUGGUGUAGCGGUGAAAUGCGCAGAUAUCAGGAGGAACACCGAUGGCGAAGGCAGGGUCUCUGGGCAUUAACUGACGCUGAGGAGCGAAAGCAUGGGGAGCGAACAGG
Molecule: ribosomal RNA, 254 nt
Filed under: uncultured bacterium
Lineage: Bacteria
Description: partial 16S ribosomal RNA
Rfam family: Bacterial small subunit ribosomal RNA
Source: RNAcentral